UUUCUGGUUGUUCUGGUUUUUCCAAUGCGAGCGUAUAAGUAUUGGACUGACCUUCUCCGUGACCUCUGCGUCUUGUAUCUGGUUCUUCUCAUAAGCCAUAUUCUUUUUCUUUCUGUAAAGCACCCAAAGAACUCCCUAUAUUCACUUGCAUGAAUAAUUGCGUCUGAAAGCUUGAACCUUUGAGGGACUCAUUUAGCCUUGCUUAAAUCGAAGCGCUCUUUAGCUAGAGAGUCAAGUGUGAAUUCUUGCCCAGCCCCAGAGACCAGCACUGAUUUGUAUUAAACCAGGUUGGUUUAAGGAGAAGUGAGGUUGCGGAGCCCCAGCUGACUUCAUUGUGCUCAGCAGUGGUCCCUAUGGAACAUUUAUGGAUGCCCCUGUGUGGGCCCCCUUUUUGGUAUGGUCACCAGUUGGGAAUCCUCUGACCCUCAUAUGGAUUCUGUCUAGGGGUGCAGUCCAGCAUCUCACUGGGAGGUACAGAUAACCCAUAUUUAUUUCCAGGAAGAGAACACCUUUUCAUAGCCCUGGAUGGACUAAAGUUGGUCAAUCUCAAGUCUUUUAGGUUAAUCCCAUCCUGCCGGACAGUAUAAAUGGGCGUGUACCAUAGGAUUUUGAACUUCUUGAAAGAAAAACGUUGGCCCAUUAAGUGUUUGAAUGGGCCCCCGCUCCCUCCCCUGUCCCCCUAGGUUUUACACUAAUUAGUGCAGAGUCUGCCAGCUGGACCCACUCACCUGGCUCCCUCUGGCACCCAGCUCUCUUUCUUCUUCGUACAACCAGGUACGUUGGACUUUAACUCCUCGUUACUCUCAGGAGUAAUCUUCAUCUUGUGGUAGAGAAUUCUUAAAGAAUGAAGGACUUUACUAAGAGGUACAUGUCAUGCAUAUCAUUUAGUUAUUAAAAAUAAACUGGCCCGUGUCCCUGGGAGCUAGCGUGUGUGUGUGUGUGUGUGUGUGUGAGUGUGUGCGUGUGUGUGUUGGUGGUAUUUAGAUAGAUCUAAAAGCAAAUGUGGUCCUGGAUACAGAAUUACUUAAUACGAAGUGUCCCCUUUUUGGUACCCCUGUGUUUAUGGGCAGCACAGGAUGCUGGUUGCGAGUACAGAUUCUGUAGCCAACUAAUCUCUUAAAAAGGGGCCAGGGUCAUAUGGUAGAUGUGCAGAGGGGGCUCGGAGAUUUCGUUUUACAGGGACGUCCUGUCUUCUGUUAAUGAUCUGGGAAGCUAGAGUUACUAGCAGUUGGCCAGAAGGAAAGGUGGUCCUGGGAAUGAGGUCUUCAACAUCUGGGCUGCUAGGAACAGUUCCCGUGGGAAAUGCCAUCCUUCCUCCCUCUCCCCAACCCUCCCACCCUCCACGGUCAUCACCUCUCAGUGCCCUGCGAUUUCCAAGGCCUGUUGCUUUGGCACAGCUUAUAGCCAAGCCUUGUCUUUUCUUCCCUGAAGAAGCUCGCCCAAGUCUUUCAGGAAAUCACUUACAUCAUGGAAACAUGCUGGUGGUGUGAAGUUUCAUCAAUGCACCUCAGAACCAGAAUUGAGGUCCGGGCUGCCAGCUGGAAUGCUUGCUGAAGCCUCAGGCUACCUGCUGUUCUUCGUGGUUCUCCUUGGGAUCACCUUCAGACACAGCACUCCCCACGGGGGCAGAGAGGACCUGUGUGUGGUUGGGUUUGUUGCUACCGAUCUUCAUCCUAUUACUACAGACCUCCCAACUCGUGGAUCUUAUCGUAUCAUAAUCCCAGAAGGAGUCACAAGGAAGGACGAGGUAGCGAGUCCUGGACUGGGGUAAAAGUCUUUUAACUCUGCUCCACCACAGUUAAUUAUGAGGUCCUGGGUCAUUUCUUUUAACCCUUUUGUGUCUCAAUUUUUUGACUCAAAAUAGUCGACGCUUCUGUACUUGACAAAGGUAUGCUGACAAAAUCAACUGUAUGGAAUAUGUGAGAAUGCUCAACACAAAGCAUUGCUGACGUGCAUGUGAGAGUGACUUGAAGGAGGCUUCCUCUUGUGGCCAUCUAUGUGACAGGCAGGAUCUGCCAGAACCUUCUUUUUUGACUGCACAGUCUGCAUAAUCAAGAGCUUUGUGUUCCCUGUAAGGGGACGAGACAAAGGUUGCUGAUAGGGAGAGUGACAGUGUCUUUGAAGUGGGAUGCUGACUUUGCUAGAGAAACUAUUCAUGUGGAGAGGGGAGGAAAGAGAAACGCUCCUAUCUGGCCCAGAGCGAAUUUUAGUUUCUUUCCCCUGGAAAUACCAUUCUCAGGGAGAGGUAAAGAGUUUCUCCUAUGGCCUCAUGAAAAUCUCAGCCACUGCCUUUCCAAAUAGUGUUGCCGUAUGAGAUGCUGACCCUCCUUGUGAACAGGCAGAUGUUUUUCCCUUUGCUGGUGUUACCCAGGCGUGUCCUCCACAUUCAGGAGCUCGGCGGCCACAGUUGUGGCAGCCACAACCUGCUCUGACUGCGUGCCAGCCUCUCACAGCAUCUAGGACAUCCUGGUCCAUCCAGGCCAGGGCCUUUCCCAGCAUGCUCUGGCAUGUGCCGGCUGUGUUCACGUCCUGUUGCUGCUUUAACAAUUAGCCACAAAUGUAGAGGUUUAAAGCAACAUCAGCUUAUUAUCACACAGUUCUGUAGGUCAGAAGUCCAGUAGACUCAGCUGGUUUCUGCUCCAGGUCCCAGAGGGCUGACACCAACAUGUCGCCAGCCUGGACCCUUAUCUGAAGUCUACAGGGAGAAUCUUCUUCCAGGCUCAUUCAGGUGGUUGACUAAAUUCAUGAGGUGUAGGACUCAGGCCCCCUGCUCCAUUCGCUGCCUCCUGGCUCCCUUCCUCUUCAAAGCCAGCGCCAGUGGGUCAAGUCGCUCUCAUACUUUGAGUCUCUCUUGCCUCUUCUUCCAUCCGUCUUUCUAACCUCAGCCAGAAAGUCUCUCCACUUUUAAAGAUUGGCCCCCACCCUGAUAGUUCAGGAUGAUCUCCCAUCUCAACGUCCAUAGCCUUCAAGCUACAGACUCCCUUGUGCCGUGUAAGGUGAUGGGUUCACAGAUGCAUCUUUGGGAGAGGCCGUUGUACUGUUGACCCCACAGGCCUUGAGUAGGGGGUACCCCGGAAGCAGCACUCAAGUGCAGGUGGAUUUGAGAGGUUUUCUGUCUGAACCCAUCCAUGAAGCUCACUAGCAGUCCAUCACUUCUGAGUCUGUUUCUCCCCUCCCUUCCCUUUCCUGCCCUUUCUGUUAAUCUAGGAGAGAGAGGAUGGGAGACAAAAAGCGACAGGCUUAAUAUACAUAUAUACACAUACACACACACGUGUGUGUAUGUAUUUAUAUUUCCUCCCCUGAGUUCAGGUUGAAAAUGUUAACAGAAUGCCCCAUGAGGUCCUUGUUGAACUAGCCCACCCUUCACAAUUUACAGGGACGAUUAUCAUCAUCGUAACUUUGCUCCUGCUCAUUUGGUCCCCACUUAGCUUUGUGGCACCUCCUGAUCCACUGUCAUGCUGGGCUCCUGCCUGGAAAAAGGCAAUCUAAAGCUGAGGUCAAAGUCUCUGAGGGCAGCUGCCCCAGCCGACAUAAAGGACUGUCUGAUAAAACCACCCCAUUUCUCUCCUGGAGAAAAGCCAGAGCCAGGAGCGAGAUUCAGGAGGAAGCUGACAGCAAACGUGCCCACCCUCAGUAGGGGAAGAUGAGCGGGAGGUGACGUGAGCAGUCUGAGCAAUGCCCCCAGCUUGGAUCUGCUGUAUCCUUUUUGGAAGUAGAGGAGAAUUUCAGGUUCUCAGACAGAUCCAUACUCAAAAGUGAGGUGCUGGGUUUUUUCAAUUAUGAAGCACAUAGAUUUUUUGUGACACUAAUGUCCCUCCCCAGUCAAUGGUGUGACAACCUGAAGCCCCUCUGUUCUGAUGGAGUGUUUUCUGUUUGAAAUAGAUGCUUUGGAGAA
Molecule: non-coding RNA, 3895 nt
Organism: Equus caballus (horse)
Lineage: Eukaryota; Metazoa; Chordata; Mammalia; Perissodactyla; Equidae
Source: RefSeq, a predicted model, not a curated record